Molecule: ribosomal RNA, 472 nt
Filed under: uncultured bacterium
Lineage: Bacteria
Description: partial 16S ribosomal RNA
Rfam family: Bacterial small subunit ribosomal RNA
Source: RNAcentral
GACGAACGCUGGCGGCGUGCUUAACACAUGCAAGUCGAACGCUGAAGCUUGGUGCUUGCACUGGGUGGAUGAGUGGCGAACGGGUGAGUAAUAAGUGAGUAACCAGCCCUUGACUCUGGGAUAAGCCCGGGAAACUGGGUCUAAUACUGGAUACGACAUGUCACCGCAUGGUGGUGUGUGGAAAGGGUUUUACUGGUGUUGGAUGGGCUCACGGCCUAUCAGCUUGUUGGUGGGGUAAUGGCUCACCAAAGCGACGACGGGUAGCCGGCCUGAGAGGGUGACCGGCCACACUGGGACGGAGACGCGGCCCAGACUCCUACGGGAGGCAGCAGUGGGGAAUAUUGCACAAUGGGCGGAAGCCUGAUGCAGCGACGCCGCGUGAGGGAUGACGGCCAUCGGGUUGUAAACCUCUUUCAGCACGGAAGAAGCGAAAGUGACGGUACGUGCAGAAGAAGCGCCGGCUAACUACGUG